GACGACGGCGACGGCGACGAUGAUAAGGACAACAACAACGGUAAUGAUGAGAACAACGAUAACGAUAACAAGGACGACGACAACGACAACAAUGAAACAAACGACAACAACAACAACAACAAAAACAACGGCAACAACAACAACAAAGACGACCACGACGACGAGAUGACAACAAUAACAACAACGACAACAACAACAACAACAACAACAACAACAACAACAACAACAAGAAGAACAACAAGAACAACAAUAAUAGCAAAAACAACAACCACGACAACAACAACAACAACAACAACAACAAAGACAACAACAACAACAAUAACAGCGUCAACAACAACAAAAA
This 343-nucleotide long non-coding RNA is filed under the name Hordeum vulgare. Its description in RNAcentral is "long non-coding RNA (HVUL_LNC021012)". The record is from RNAcentral. Lineage: Eukaryota; Viridiplantae; Streptophyta; Magnoliopsida; Poales; Poaceae.